AUGGGCUCGCUGCUCCUGCUCUCCUUGCUGGUGAUUUCUGGGGUCGGGGUCGGCGGCGGCGUGAGGCUGGCGGGCAAUGGCGGGUACGAGGACUGGAGGCUGGGCACGGCGACCUACAUCAAGGAGUCCCAGGGCCACCCGCUCAAUGACGGUGGCGGCGCUUGCGGGUACGGGGACCUGGACAUAUUCAGGUACGGGAGGUACACGGCCGGGCUGAGCGGCGCGCUGUUCGGGCGGGGCAGCGCCUGCGGCGGCUGCUACGAGCUCCGGUGCGUCAACAACAUCCUCUAUUGCCUGCGGGGCAGCCCCACCGUCGUCGUGACGGCGACCGACUUCUGCGCCCCCAACUUCGGCCUCGCAGACGACUACGGCGGCUGGUGCAACUUCCCCAAGGAGCACCUGGAGAUGACCGAGGCCGCCUUCCUCCGGGUCGCCAAGGCCAAGGCUGACAUUGUCCAGGUGCAGUUCCGAAGGGUGAGCUGUGACAGGGCCGGCGGAAUUCGGUUCACGAUCACCGGCGGCCCCAACUUCCUCCAGGUGCUGAUCACCAACGUGGCAGCCGACGGCGAGGUCGACGCUGUGAAGGUGAAGGGGUCGAAGACCGGGUGGAUACCGAUGGGGAGGAACUGGGGGCAGAACUGGCAGUGCGACGCGGACCUCCGAGGCCAGCCGCUCUCGUUCGAGGUCACCGGAGGAAAGGGGAGGACGAUCACCAUGUAUAACGUUGCGCCUUCGGACUGGAUGUUUGCGCAAACGUUCGCAGGCAAGCAGUUCGUCGAGUAG
Molecule: ribosomal RNA, 783 nt
Filed under: Triticum aestivum (bread wheat)
Lineage: Eukaryota; Viridiplantae; Streptophyta; Magnoliopsida; Poales; Poaceae
Description: partial small subunit ribosomal RNA
Source: RNAcentral